GACGAACGCUGGCGGCGUGCUUAACACAUGCAAGUCGAACGGAAAGGCCCUGCUUGCAGGGUACUCGAGUGGCGAACGGGUGAGUAACACGUGGGUGAUCUGCCCUGCACUUCGGGAUAAGCCUGGGAAACUGGGUCUAAUACCGGAUAGGAGCCAUUUUUAGUGUGAUGGUUGGAGAGUUUUUUCGGUGUAGGAUGAGCUCGCGGCCUAUCAGCUUGUUGGUGGGGUAAUGGCCUACCAAGGCGGCGACGGGUAGCCGGCCUGAGAGGGUGGACGGCCACAUUGGGACUGAGAUACGGCCCAGACUCCGACGGGAGGCAGCAGUGGGGAAUAUUGCACAAUGGGCGCAAGCCUGAUGCAGCGACGCCGCGUGGAGGAUGACGGCCUUCGGGUUGUAAACGCCUUUCGCUAGGGACGAAGCUUUUUGUGACGGUACCUAGAUAAGAAGCACCGGCUAACUACGUG
RNAcentral lists this ribosomal RNA (465 nucleotides) under uncultured bacterium. RNAcentral's name for it is "partial 16S ribosomal RNA". It matches the Rfam family "Bacterial small subunit ribosomal RNA", at positions 28 to 507 of the family's 1533-position model. The record is from RNAcentral.